GAGUAAGGGUCUUCGGGCCCGAACCUCCAACCCUUUGUCGUUAUACAAACCUUUGUUGCUUUGGCGGGACCGCCGGCCCUUUGCGGGGCCGGCCGCCGGUCCUCGGCCCGGCGAGCGCCCGCCAGAGUCAAAAAUCACAACUCUUGUUUAAACAGUACGUCCGAGUCAAUUGAUAAAUCAAUCAAAACUUUCAACAACGGAUCUCUUGGUUCU
Molecule: unclassified non-coding RNA, 213 nt
Filed under: rhizosphere metagenome
Description: partial ribosomal RNA internal transcribed spacer region
Source: RNAcentral